UCGAACGAUACCAUUUAGCUUGCUCUUUGGGAAAGUGGCGCACGGGUGCGUAACGCGUAUGCAACCUACCUCAAUCAGGGGGAUAGCCCGAAGAAAUUCGGAUUAACACCGCAUAAAAUCACAGGAUAGCAUUAUCCGAUGAUCAAAUAUUUAUAGGAUUGAGAUGGGCAUGCGUGUCAUUAGUUAGUUGGCGGGGUAACGGCCCACCAAGACCACGAUGACUAGGGGAUCUGAGAGGAUGACCCCCCACACUGGUACUGAGACACGGACCAGACUCCUACGGGAGGCAGCAGUAAGGAAUAUUGGUCAAUGGAGGCAACUCUGAACCAGCCAUGCCGCGUGCAGGAAGACAGCCCUCUGGGUCGUAAACUGCUUUUAUUCGGGAAUAAACCUACUUACGUGUAAGUAGCUGAAUGUACCGAAGGAAUAAGGAUCGGCUAACUCCGUGCCAGCAGCCGCGGUAAUACGGAGGAUCCAAGCGUUAUCCGGAUUUAUUGGGUUUAAAGGGUGCGUAGGCGGCUUAUUAAGUCAGGGGUGAAAGACGGUGGCUCAACCAUCGCAGUGCCCUUGAUACUGAUGAGCUUGAAUACACUACAGGUAGGCGGAAUGUGACAAGUAGCGGUGAAAUGCAUAGAUAUGUCACAGAACACCGAUUGCGAAGGCAGCUUACUAUGGUGUCAUUGACGCUGAGGCACGAAAGCGUGGGGAUCAAACAGGAUUAGAUACCCUGGUAGUCCACGCCCUAAACGAUGAAUACUCGCUGUUAGCGAUACACAGUUAGCGGCUAAGCGAAAGCGUUAAGUAUUCCACCUGGGGAGUACGGUCGCAAGAUUGAAACUCAAAGGAAUUGACGGGGGCCCGCACAAGCGGAGGAGCAUGUGGUUUAAUUCGAUGAUACGCGAGGAACCUUACCCGGGCUUGAAAGUUAGUGAAUCAUUUAGAGAUAGAUGAGUGAGCAAUCACACGAAAAUAGGUGUUGCAUGGCUGUCGUCAGCUCGUGCCGUGAGGUGUUGGGUUAAGUCCCGCAACGAGCGCAACCCUUAUGUUUAGUUGCCAGCACGUUAAGGUGGGGACUCUAAACAGACUGCCUGUGCAAACAGAGAGGAAGGAGGGGACGACGUCAAGUCAUCAUGGCCCUUACGUCCGGGGCUACACACGUGCUACAAUGGAUGGUACAGAGGGCAGCAAGCUGGCAACAGCAAGCAAAUCUCAAAAAGCCAUUCACAGUUCGGAUAGAGGUCUGCAACUCGACCUCUUGAAGUUGGAUUCGCUAGUAAUCGCGUAUCAGCAAUGACGCGGUGAAUACGUUCCCGGGCCUUGUACACACCGCCCGUCAAGCCAUGGAAGUUGGGGGUACCUAAAGUAUGUAACCGCAAGGA
RNAcentral lists this ribosomal RNA (1379 nucleotides) under Pedobacter sp. TSBY-22. Its description in RNAcentral is "bacterial SSU rRNA". It matches the Rfam family "Bacterial small subunit ribosomal RNA". The record is from RNAcentral. Lineage: Bacteria; Pseudomonadati; Bacteroidota; Sphingobacteriia; Sphingobacteriales; Sphingobacteriaceae.